UGCAAAUUACAGAGUAGGUAUCAAGCCCAGGAAAAUGAGUCAGACUCUUUGACAAACUCACAAAAACAGCUCAAGAAAUUUCAUGCGGCAGCAAU
Long non-coding RNA from Salarias fasciatus (jewelled blenny), 95 nucleotides. RefSeq lists it as uncharacterized. The transcript has 3 exons. NCBI's taxonomy places the organism in Eukaryota, Metazoa, Chordata, Actinopteri, Blenniiformes, Blenniidae. The record is from RefSeq and is a predicted model, not a curated record.